GAGGCAUUCGAACUCACGUCUAUCUUGGUCAUGAUUUCUUCUAGAUUCGCAACCAGAUGAUCAGUUGUCAAUGCUGUUUCUACAUACAAAACUGUUAUAUGGUUGGAAUCCUGAUCAUAUUACUAACUAUAUUUGUUCACAGGACGGCCUUUCUUACUGAUGGUAUCCUUGGGACAUGGUUAAUUGAUCAAUCAAUGCUGAAUUAUAGUGUACAACAUGUGAGGUGGCUGGGAGAUGCUGACUGUAAGAUGAUUUGGUUAACAUGGUACAUCCUUGUAAAUAAUCAGGUUUUGUCAAAUCUUAGCC
Molecule: long non-coding RNA, 306 nt
Filed under: Elaeis guineensis (African oil palm)
Lineage: Eukaryota; Viridiplantae; Streptophyta; Magnoliopsida; Arecales; Arecaceae
Description: long non-coding RNA (EGUI_LNC020253)
Source: RNAcentral